RNAcentral lists this ribosomal RNA (245 nucleotides) under uncultured bacterium. RNAcentral describes it as "partial small subunit ribosomal RNA". It matches the Rfam family "Bacterial small subunit ribosomal RNA", at positions 26 to 285 of the family's 1533-position model. The record is from RNAcentral.
AGAAUCAACGCUGGCGGCGUGCCUAACACAUGCAAGUCGCACGAGAAAGGGGAGCAAUCCCUGAGUACAGUGGCGCACGGGUGAGUAACACGUGAAUGAUCUACCUCCGAGUGGGGAAUAACUGAGAGAAAUCUUGGCUAAUACCGCAUAAUACCCACGGGUCAAAGCAGCAAUGCGCUUGGAGAGGAGUUCGCGGCCGAUUAGCUAGUUGGCGGGGUAAUGGCCCACCAAGGCGAUGAUCGGUA